RNAcentral lists this transfer RNA (75 nucleotides) under Bacteroidia bacterium. RNAcentral's name for it is "tRNA-Val". It matches the Rfam family "tRNA". From Rfam's summary of the family: Transfer RNA (tRNA) molecules are approximately 80 nucleotides in length. Their secondary structure includes four short double-helical elements and three loops (D, anti-codon, and T loops). Further hydrogen bonds mediate the characteristic L-shaped molecular structure. tRNAs have two regions of fundamental functional importance: the anti-codon, which is responsible for specific mRNA codon recognition, and the 3' end, to which the tRNAs corresponding amino acid is attached (by aminoacyl-tRNA synthetases). tRNAs cope with the degeneracy of the genetic code in two manners: having more than one tRNA (with a specific anti-codon) for a particular amino acid; and 'wobble' base-pairing, i.e. permitting non-standard base-pairing at the 3rd anti-codon position. Lineage: Bacteria; Pseudomonadati; Bacteroidota; Bacteroidia. The record is from RNAcentral.
UGGGAUCUUAGCUCAGCCGGGAGAGCAUCUGCUCCACACGCAGAGGGUCGCAGGUUCAAGUCCUGUAGGUCCCAU